Non-coding RNA from Python bivittatus (Burmese python), 826 nucleotides. Lineage: Eukaryota; Metazoa; Chordata; Lepidosauria; Squamata; Pythonidae. The record is from RefSeq and is a predicted model, not a curated record.
AUGUUGUUAAGGUUUUCUCAACCCUCAUGAUGUCAUAGUUCUCUGAAAGUCUUAUAUAGAGGGAGACCCCUUCUUUUGCUAAAGAACUUCAAGCAGCCUUCAAACUCUCCUACAGUGCAACAGAUCAGCACAACAUCAGCCUUCAGCCAUGAAGACCCUUUUCCUUCUUUUUGCUGCUGUCUUGUUCUUCAGUCAAAUUAUUCCAGGAAAUACUCAGGCUGCACCUGAUACCAUGGAAUGCAAGAGGAGUCACCAUGGGUUCUGUAAAUACCAGUACUGCCCUGGGCAGACUGUGCCUACUGGAGGGACGUGUCAGUGGAGAACCCUGAUUUGCUGUAAAUCUCCUUGGAGCCGGAGAGGGUGAUCAAGUCAACCAUAGACAAAGCAAGACUUCUGGAUUCUGGAGAAAUACAUGCCUACUUUGGAAACUGGUGGCCUCAGCUUCAAAGUCAAGCAUAAGGAGCUACUUGUUUGGACUGUAAACAGACAUAAUGUUCUGCAAAGAAAUUCACACCUUUCCACCCGAUCCUCCCCUUCUACACUUAUCCAAUUUUUGACUUGAGGAGAAAUUUCAGAAAGUAUAAGUAAAUCAGCUAGAGUUCUCUACACAGAAUUUUGGAAAUGAAAGUCAAUCCCAAAUUGAGAAAUAAUCAGAUAAAUUUUAGAAACAGGCUGUAAUAUCAGAAAGUACAGAUUAUGGAUAGUUUAAACAAAGAGAGGCAAAAUGGAAGGGAAAAGAGAGAUUUCAAAACUUUAUUUGUUUUUCUGGUAUUCUGUGGAAGAAAGUUACAUUUUUACUUACAAAUGAUAAAUUACAAAGCUAGUA